GAUGAACGCUGGCGGCGUGCCUAAUACAUGCAAGUCGAGCGAACGGACGAGAAGCUUGCUUCUCUGAUGUUAGCGGCGGACGGGUGAGUAACACGUGGAUAACCUACCUAUAAGACUGGGAUAACUUCGGGAAACCGGAGCUAAUACCGGAUAAUAUUUUGAACCGCAUGGUUCAAUAGUGAAAGACGGUCUUUCUGUCACUUAUAGAUGGAUCCGCGCUGCAUUAGCUAGUUGGUAAGGUAACGGCUUACCAAGGCAACGAUGCAUAGCCGACCUGAGAGGGUGAUAGGCCACACUGGAACGGAGACACGGUCCAGGCUCCUGCGGGAGGCAGCAGUAGGGAAUCGUCCGCAAUGGGCGAAAGCCUGACGGAGCGACGCCGCGUGAGUGAUGAAGGUCUUCGGAUCGUAAAACUCUGUUAUUAGGGAAGAACAUAUGUGUAAUUAACUGUGCACAUCUUGACGGUACCUAAUCAGAAAGCAACGGCUAACUACGUG
This 497-nucleotide ribosomal RNA is filed under the name uncultured bacterium. RNAcentral's name for it is "partial 16S ribosomal RNA". It matches the Rfam family "Bacterial small subunit ribosomal RNA", at positions 28 to 507 of the family's 1533-position model. The record is from RNAcentral.